AUUGAACGCUGGCGGCAUGCUUUACACAUGCAAGUCGAACGGCAGCGCGGGCUUCGGCCUGGCGGCGAGUGGCGAACGGGUGAGUAAUACAUCGGAACGUGCCCAGUAGUGGGGGAUAGCUCGGCGAAAGCCGGAUUAAUACCGCAUACGACCUGAGGGUGAAAGCGGGGGAUCUUCGGACCUCGCGCUAUUGGAGCGGCCGAUGGCAGAUUAGCUAGUUGGUGGGGUAAAGGCCUACCAAGGCGACGAUCUGUAGCUGGUCUGAGAGGACGACCAGCCACACUGGGACUGAGACACGGCCCAGACUCCUACGGGAGGCAGCAGUGGGGAACUUUGGACAAUGGGCGAAAGCCUGAUCCAGCAAUGCCGCGUGUGUGAUGAAGGCCUUCGGGUUGUAAAGCACUUUUGGCGGGAACGAAAAGGACUAUGCCAAUACCACGGUUCGAUGACGGUACCCGCAGAAUAAGCACCGGCUAACUACGUG
This 484-nucleotide ribosomal RNA is filed under the name uncultured bacterium. RNAcentral describes it as "partial 16S ribosomal RNA". It matches the Rfam family "Bacterial small subunit ribosomal RNA", at positions 29 to 507 of the family's 1533-position model. The record is from RNAcentral.